UACGUAGGGUGCAAGCGUUAAUCGGAAUUACUGGGCGUAAAGCGCGCGUAGGCGGCUUUGUAAGUUAGAGGUGAAAGCCCGGGGCUCAACCCCGGAACUGCCUUUAAGACUGCAUCGCUUGAAUCCGGGAGAGGUGAGUGGAAUUCCGAGUGUAGAGGUGAAAUUCGUAGAUAUUCGGAAGAACACCAGUGGCGAAGGCGGCUCACUGGACCGGUAUUGACGCUGAGGUGCGAGAGCGUGGGGAGCAAACAGG
Molecule: ribosomal RNA, 253 nt
Filed under: uncultured bacterium
Lineage: Bacteria
Description: partial 16S ribosomal RNA
Rfam family: Bacterial small subunit ribosomal RNA
Source: RNAcentral